This 496-nucleotide ribosomal RNA is filed under the name uncultured bacterium. Its description in RNAcentral is "partial 16S ribosomal RNA". It matches the Rfam family "Bacterial small subunit ribosomal RNA", at positions 29 to 507 of the family's 1533-position model. The record is from RNAcentral.
AUGCACGCUGGCGGCGUGCCUAAUACCUGCAAGUCGAGCGAACAGACGAGGAGCUUGCUCCUCUGACGUUAGCGGCGGACGGGUGAGUAACACGUGGAUAACCUACCUAUAAGACUGGGAUAACUUCGGGAAACCGGAGCUAAUACCGGAUAAUAUAUUGAACCGCAUGGUUCAAUAGUGAAAGACGGUUUUGCUGUCACUUAUAGAUGGAUCCGCGCCGCAUUAGCUAGUUGGUAAGGUAACGGCUUACCAAGGCAACGAUGCGUAGCCGACCUGAGAGGGUGAUCGGCCACACUGGAACUGAGACACGGUCCAGACUCCUACGGGAGGCAGCAGUAGGGAAUCUUCCGCAAUGGGCGAAAGCCUGACGGAGCAACGCCGCGUGAGUGAUGAAGGUCUUUGGAUCGUAAAACUCUGUUAUUAGGGAAGAACAAAUGUGUAAGUAACUAUGCACGUCUUGACGGUACCUAAUCAGAAAGCCACGGCUAACUACGUG